UUAAGCGACUAAGCGUACACGGUGGAUGCCCUGGCAGUCAGAGGCGAUGAAGGACGUGCUAAUCUGCGAUAAGCGUCGGUGAGGUGAUAUGAACCGUUAUAACCGGCGAUUUCCGAAUGGGGAAACCCAGUGUGUUUCGACACACUAUCAUUAACUGAAUCCAUAGGUUAAUGAGGCGAACCGGGGGAACUGAAACAUCUAAGUACCCCGAGGAAAAGAAAUCAACCGAGAUUCCCCCAGUAGCGGCGAGCGAACGGGGAGGAGCCCAGAGCCUGAAUCAGUGUGUGUGUUAGUGGAAGCGUCUGGAAAGGCGCGCGAUACAGGGUGACAGCCCCGUACACAAAAAUGCACAUAUUGUGAGCUCGAUGAGUAGGGCGGGACACGUGGUAUCCUGUCUGAAUAUGGGGGGACCAUCCUCCAAGGCUAAAUACUCCUGACUGACCGAUAGUGAACCAGUACCGUGAGGGAAAGGCGAAAAGAACCCCGGCGAGGGGAGUGAAAAAGAACCUGAAACCGUGUACGUACAAGCAGUGGGAGCCUCUUAAUGGGGUGACUGCGUACCUUUUGUAUAAUGGGUCAGCGACUUAUAUUCUGUAGCAAGGUUAACCGAAUAGGGGAGCCGGAGGGAAACCGAGUCUUAACUGGGCGUUAAGUUGCAGGGUAUAGACCCGAAACCCGGUGAUCUAGCCAUGGGCAGGUUGAAGGUUGGGUAACACUAACUGGAGGACCGAACCGACUAAUGUUGAAAAAUUAGCGGAUGACUUGUGGCUGGGGGUGAAAGGCCAAUCAAACCGGGAGAUAGCUGGUUCUCCCCGAAAGCUAUUUAGGUAGCGCCUCGUGAAUUCAUCUCCGGGGGUAGAGCACUGUUUCGGCAAGGGGGUCAUCCCGACUUACCAACCCGAUGCAAACUGCGAAUACCGGAGAAUGUUAUCACGGGAGACACACGGCGGGUGCUAACGUCCGUCGUGAAGAGGGAAACAACCCAGACCGCCAGCUAAGGUCCCAAAGUCAUGGUUAAGUGGGAAACGAUGUGGGAAGGCCCAGACAGCCAGGAUGUUGGCUUAGAAGCAGCCAUCAUUUAAAGAAAGCGUAAUAGCUCACUGGUCGAGUCGGCCUGCGCGGAAGAUGUAACGGGGCUAAACCAUGCACCGAAGCUGCGGCAGCGACGCUUAUGCGUUGUUGGGUAGGGGAGCGUUCUGUAAGCCUGCGAAGGUGUGCUGUGAGGCAUGCUGGAGGUAUCAGAAGUGCGAAUGCUGACAUAAGUAACGAUAAAGCGGGUGAAAAGCCCGCUCGCCGGAAGACCAAGGGUUCCUGUCCAACGUUAAUCGGGGCAGGGUGAGUCGACCCCUAAGGCGAGGCCGAAAGGCGUAGUCGAUGGGAAACAGGUUAAUAUUCCUGUACUUGGUGUUACUGCGAAGGGGGGACGGAGAAGGCUAUGUUGGCCGGGCGACGGUUGUCCCGGUUUAAGCGUGUAGGCUGGUUUUCCAGGCAAAUCCGGAAAAUCAAGGCUGAGGCGUGAUGACGAGGCACUACGGUGCUGAAGCAACAAAUGCCCUGCUUCCAGGAAAAGCCUCUAAGCAUCAGGUAACAUCAAAUCGUACCCCAAACCGACACAGGUGGUCAGGUAGAGAAUACCAAGGCGCUUGAGAGAACUCGGGUGAAGGAACUAGGCAAAAUGGUGCCGUAACUUCGGGAGAAGGCACGCUGAUAUGUAGGUGAAGCGACUUGCUCGUGGAGCUGAAAUCAGUCGAAGAUACCAGCUGGCUGCAACUGUUUAUUAAAAACACAGCACUGUGCAAACACGAAAGUGGACGUAUACGGUGUGACGCCUGCCCGGUGCCGGAAGGUUAAUUGAUGGGGUUAGCGGUAACGCGAAGCUCUUGAUCGAAGCCCCGGUAAACGGCGGCCGUAACUAUAACGGUCCUAAGGUAGCGAAAUUCCUUGUCGGGUAAGUUCCGACCUGCACGAAUGGCGUAAUGAUGGCCAGGCUGUCUCCACCCGAGACUCAGUGAAAUUGAACUCGCUGUGAAGAUGCAGUGUACCCGCGGCAAGACGGAAAGACCCCGUGAACCUUUACUAUAGCUUGACACUGAACAUUGAGCCUUGAUGUGUAGGAUAGGUGGGAGGCUUUGAAGUGUGGACGCCAGUCUGCAUGGAGCCGACCUUGAAAUACCACCCUUUAAUGUUUGAUGUUCUAACGUUGGCCCCUGAUCGGGGUUGCGGACAGUGUCUGGUGGGUAGUUUGACUGGGGCGGUCUCCUCCUAAAGAGUAACGGAGGAGCACGAAGGUUGGCUAAUCCUGGUCGGACAUCAGGAGGUUAGUGCAAUGGCAUAAGCCAGCUUGACUGCGAGCGUGACGGCGCGAGCAGGUGCGAAAGCAGGUCAUAGUGAUCCGGUGGUUCUGAAUGGAAGGGCCAUCGCUCAACGGAUAAAAGGUACUCCGGGGAUAACAGGCUGAUACCGCCCAAGAGUUCAUAUCGACGGCGGUGUUUGGCACCUCGAUGUCGGCUCAUCACAUCCUGGGGCUGAAGUAGGUCCCAAGGGUAUGGCUGUUCGCCAUUUAAAGUGGUACGCGAGCUGGGUUUAGAACGUCGUGAGACAGUUCGGUCCCUAUCUGCCGUGGGCGCUGGAGAACUGAGGGGGGCUGCUCCUAGUACGAGAGGACCGGAGUGGACGCAUCACUGGUGUUCGGGUUGUCAUGCCAAUGGCACUGCCCGGUAGCUAAAUGCGGAAGAGAUAAGUGCUGAAAGCAUCUAAGCACGAAACUUGCCCCGAGAUGAGUUCUCCCUGAGACUUUAAGUCUCCUGAAGGAACGUUGAAGACGACGACGUUGAUAGGCCGGGUGUGUAAGCGCAGCGAUGCGUUGAGCUAACCGGUACUAAUGAACCGUGAGGCUUAACCUU
This 2903-nucleotide ribosomal RNA is filed under the name Escherichia coli. RNAcentral's name for it is "bacterial LSU rRNA". It matches the Rfam family "Bacterial large subunit ribosomal RNA". The record is from RNAcentral. Lineage: Bacteria; Pseudomonadati; Pseudomonadota; Gammaproteobacteria; Enterobacterales; Enterobacteriaceae. RNAcentral also lists the same sequence under 1 other name.